CCUAGCAGAUAACUCUCGAGUCUCGACCUCUCGUUCAUUCCUCUCGACCUCUCGUUCUGUCGUUCACAAGCCAGUGAGAGACUGAGAGUGUGAGACACCGAUCAACAUUAACCGAGUGAGACACCGAUCAAUUCACCUCCAUCAAGGCACAAGGCCGAGUGAUCUGCGAUUCACCUCUAUCAAUUCAGCUCAUAAGCAUCACCGACACGGAGAGUCUGAGAGUAAAGCUGUGGUGGCGGACGCACCGAGCCACCGAUCGAUUGCAAUUUCCCAAAGUUCCUGGUCAUCAAUUUCAGUUCACCGAUCGAAUUUCUGGGUUCGAUUGCUCUCCAGCAUCUCCUUUGCACUCCAACCUCUCCUCCUUUGCUCUCUUCCAUAUUCUGGCCUUCUGGGUUGGAUUCUUCAACCUUCAGUCGAAGUCUUGCUUGGACGCUUGAAUACAAUUCAAGAAGCUGAUGGCUAGGCAGAAGGCAAGGGAAAGCUUGGGGCAGCUAGUAAUGUGAUAGAUGUUUGAACUUUGUUCAAUUCAUUUAGUUGUGUGCACAUUUUCAAUGAAGUGUCAAAUUGUGGACUGUAAUGGAUUAUUAAAUUAUGUAGAUUUGGUCUUCUUUCA
Rosa chinensis is the source of this 613-nucleotide long non-coding RNA. RefSeq lists it as uncharacterized. NCBI's taxonomy places the organism in Eukaryota, Viridiplantae, Streptophyta, Magnoliopsida, Rosales, Rosaceae. The record is from RefSeq and is a predicted model, not a curated record. The transcript has 2 exons.